This 501-nucleotide ribosomal RNA is filed under the name uncultured bacterium. RNAcentral describes it as "partial 16S ribosomal RNA". It matches the Rfam family "Bacterial small subunit ribosomal RNA", at positions 28 to 507 of the family's 1533-position model. The record is from RNAcentral.
GACGAACGCUGGCGGCGUGCUUAACACAUGCAAGUCGAACGGUGAAGCACCUUCCUUUUGGUGGGUGUGGAUGAGUGGCGAACGGGUGAGUAACACGUGAGUAACCUGCCCCCUUCUUCUGGAUAACCGCAUGAAAGUGUGGCUAAUACGGGAUAUUCUGUGCCUGCUGCAUGGUGGGUGUGGGAAAGAUGCGCUUUUGGGUGUUUUUGGUGGGGGAUGGGCUCGCGGCCUAUCAGCUUGUUGGUGGGGUGAUGGCCUACCAAGGCGGUGACGGGUAGCCGGCCGGAGAGGGUGGACGGUCACACUGGGACUGAGACACGGCCCAGACUCCUACGGGAGGCAGCAGUGGGGAAUAUUGCACAAUGGGCGCAAGCCUGAUGCAGCGACGCCGCGUGAGGGAUGGAGGCCUUCGGGUUGUAAACCUCUUUCGCCAGUGAAGCAGGCCUGUCCCUUGUGGGUGGGUUGACGGUAGCUGGAGAAGAAGCGCCGGCUAACUACGUG